Molecule: long non-coding RNA, 3129 nt
Organism: Callithrix jacchus (white-tufted-ear marmoset)
Lineage: Eukaryota; Metazoa; Chordata; Mammalia; Primates; Cebidae
Source: RefSeq, a predicted model, not a curated record
AGUACAUGUAUUCCAUCUGCCCAGAAUGAAAGUACUCAAGUUAUCUUUUCAAUACAUAAAACAAAUCACAUUAUUUCCCUGCUUAAAAUGCUCCAGUGGGUUCCCUUCAACCCUAAAAAUCACAUCCCUUCCUCUGGUCUGCACAUUCAUGAACUGACCUGUUCCAGGCUCAUCUCUUACUGAACUUUCUCUUGCCCACUCAGCUCUAGCCACACCGACCUUCCUUGUCUUUCUCAAUAGCCACACUUGUUCUACAUUAGGAUCUUCACACUAGUGCCUCUGCUGCCUGGAGUAAUUUCCUCCGUAUUUUCAGAUCACAUUGUAAAUAUGGCCACUUCAAAGACACCUCCCUGAAAACCCAAUCUCUAUCAUAUUCCAUUUAAACUUGUUUUUCUGGGUAGCUCUUAUUUCUGUACAUUGCACACUAACUUCCUUGCUUAGCUUCCUCUUUAGAAUAUCAACUCCACAGAAACAGCGGUUUUGUGUGUCUUGUUACCUUCUGUAUCCCAUCCUUAGACCCUAGAGCAGUGCCGGCACAUGAAAGCCCUACACAAAUAAUAGUUGAAAACAAUGAAUGAACAAAUCUGCUUGUGUCAAGCACUUAUGUCCUACACUUGCCUAGAAAAGACAGAUCAGAACCAGUUAAGAGAGCAGAUGCAGAAGAGCCAAAAACCAGGUUGUGACCCAAUUUCUCUUGAGUCUAGUGGUCACAUAAAAAUGUGCUCUAUUAGUAAUAUAAGUUAAAAUAGAUAAAACGUUCAAAGCUUGUAAAUUUUUAAAAAAUCCCCUGCAAAAGUGCUUUUGGGACAAAUAAUAGCAAAUGCGGAAAUCAAUGAAAACAAAAACACGACACAUAAAAACCUCUGCUUUACAGCAAAGUCAGACUCAGAAAUUAAUUGUUCAUUUUUUAAUCUCAUAUAAUUUCAUUUAUCUGAUUAUAAAAUACUGCACCCUUAUUAUUUGCAGAAAACAGAGAAGCACAAACAAAAUAAAAACUGUGAAUAAGCACUGAAGACCUUUGCCUGCAUCAGCCAAAUAUCUGUGACUAGGAAAGCAGACAGAGUUACAUGGACAAGGGACACUAUUGGCAAGGAUAAUGGCAAUAGAAACCCUAAGGAAAUAAGAAGGAAAAACAUGCCCUCUGAUUGUUGCCUCAGAGCGGGCAAGCCAAAAGGUGAUGGUCAGCAGAUGGAGGAGGAAAUGUUUGCAGAGGAAUUGGAACUGAGGAAGAAUUGCCCCAUCCUCCACAGUCACUAAAUACAGAACACAGGUAUCUCUAGCAUUGAGAAGGCAGUAUUCACUAUGGACAUAGAAUAUUGACAGGACGGAGGAGAACUACGGUUGUGUGCUAUGUAGGGAAGGACUGCCUUUACAGCUGUUUCAUCAGGAAAUUUCCAUAGAAGAAGCAGAAACUUUGAGAUCACACGGGUUUGGAUUAUAAACCCUUGCUCCAUGACAUACUAGCUUUGGGGUCUUGGAAAAUAACUUAGCUUUACUUGAUUUCUUCAUCAGUAGAAAAGGAGACAACCAUGACUAGCUGUACAGUUCAAUUCAUCCCUUGCCUGGAGCCUAGAAUCAAAAACACAUCUCAAUAAGUAUCUAUGAUGGUUGGUAUUAUUAUUAUUACCUCUCAGGGUUGCUGUGAGGCUUAAAUGAUAUACCACGUGAAGGCACCUUGGGCAGUGCCUAACAUAAGAAUGUGAUUUCCUUUUGUCGAAGCUUCUAAGGGGUAUCCUAGACAUUUUCACAUUUAAAUCUGUAGUAGGACAUUUCCUCUUAACUAGGACCUUCAGGGCAGCCUGAGGAGUCAGCACUUGGGAUUGAUUGAACAUGGAGGAAAAGAGAAGGGACUUAACCUUUGUUAAAUGCCUAUGCCAUGGUCUGAAUGUUUAUGUUUCUCCCCAAAUUUAUAUAUGGAAAUCCUAACACCCAAGACGAUGGUACUAGGAGAUGGGGCCUUUGGAAGGUGAUUAGAUCUCAUAGAUGGGAUUAAUGUCCUUAUAAAUGAGGCCCCAGUGAACUUCCUUGUUCCUUCCCAUAUAAAGAGGGCACAGUACUGUCUAAGACAGUGGAUCCUCACCAAACACAGAGGCACCUUGCUGCUGGUACCUUGAUCUUGGACUUCCCAGCCUCUAGUAUGAUGAGAAAUACAUUUCUGUUGAGUAUAAGCCAGUCAGUUUAUGGUAUUUUGUUAUGGCAGCCUAAACAGACUAAGACAGUCAACUACAAGUCAGAAAUGCUACUGGACAUGUGGGCGCACCAGAGAUCAGCUUUGCCUUCUUAAUUUUCGCUCUGAGUUGGCCUUGCUUCUUGUGUGUUUCCUAUUGCUGCUAUAACAAAUUACCACAAGCUUGAAACAGCAUACAUUUAAUAUGUUACCUGUCUGAAGAUCAGGAGGCUAAAGUGGGACAACGGGCUGCAUUCAUUCCAAAACCUCUAGGGGACAAUCUAUUUCCUUUCCUUUUCCAGCUUCUAGAGAGCCUCCUGCAUUCCCUGGCCCAUGGCAUUCUUCACUUCACUCCGAUCUCUGCUGCCUUGAUGACAUUGACUUCUCUGACUCUGACCCUCUGCCUCUCUCUUAUAACGACCUUGUGAUUACACUGGGCCCAGAGUAAUCCAGAAUAAUGUUCCCAUCUCAAGAUCCUUAGUCUAAUGAUAUCUACAAAAGCCCUUUGCCAUGGAAUUUAAUGUCUUCCUAGGUUCCAGAGAUUAGGAGUGGACAUCUUUGGGGAGUUCUUUAUUCUUUCUAUUGUACUUGUUCACAUAGUAUUUGCACACAAAGAUGCAAAAGAAUCUCAGGAGUGACUGAGAUGGAUGAGGGCCAAGAACAAUAUUUGUGUCCUCUAGCACAUCUGUACAAUAUAUGUAGCAUGAGUAAAUUCCAAGUCACCUUUGAGACCAAUUUAGCAACAGCUAGUAGGAUAUGAAAGUGCACACACACAACUCAACACUCACUUGUAAGUGAAUGCACUAGAAUUGUGUGUACAUACACUCUAGGACACAGGCUCAUGAAUCUCCACGGAGGAGAAGAGUAAAAACCUCUUUUUACUUAUGGAAAAAUUGGGCCCGGCUUCACCAUGAGGAAUGAAUAUCGAAAUUCACAUAAGGAAACAUCACAUAGACCUGAAG